Molecule: transfer RNA, 71 nt
Filed under: Rhinella chavin
Lineage: Eukaryota; Metazoa; Chordata; Amphibia; Anura; Bufonidae
Description: tRNA-Val
Source: RNAcentral
UAGAACACUUCCCCCUCCCAACAAACCAUUUUAAUAUUAUAGUAAAGGAGAUCGAAAAUUUAUUGGAGUUA